AGCUCCAAUAGCGUAUCUUAAAGUUGCUGCAGUUAAAAAGCUCCUAGUUGGAUCUCGGGACCGAGCUGACGGUCCGCCGCCAGGCGAGCCACCGUCCGUCCCAGCCCCUGCCUUCCGGCGCCCCCUCGAUGCUCUUAGCUGAGUGUCCCGCUUGGGGUCCGGAGCGUUUACUUUGAAAAAAAUAGAGUGUUCAAAGCAGGCCGCCGUCGCCUGAAUACCGCAGCUAGGAAUAAUGGAAUAGGACCCCGGUUCUAUUUUGUGGGUUUUAUUAUCUGAACUGGGGCCAUGAUUAAGAGGGACGGUCGGGGGCAUUCGUAUUGCGCCGCUAGAGGUGAAAUUCUUGGACCGGCGCAAGACGGACAAAAGCGAAAGCAUUUGCCAAGGAUGUUUUCA
This 393-nucleotide ribosomal RNA is filed under the name uncultured eukaryote. RNAcentral describes it as "SSU rRNA". It matches the Rfam family "Eukaryotic small subunit ribosomal RNA", at positions 587 to 972 of the family's 1831-position model. The record is from RNAcentral.